RNAcentral lists this transfer RNA (64 nucleotides) under Scatella tenuicosta. RNAcentral's name for it is "tRNA-Ile". Lineage: Eukaryota; Metazoa; Arthropoda; Insecta; Diptera; Ephydridae. The record is from RNAcentral.
AUGAAUUGCCUGAUUAAAGGAUUACUUUGAUAGAGUAAAUCAUGUAGUUAUACUACAUUCAUAA